Molecule: ribosomal RNA, 540 nt
Filed under: Salmonella enterica subsp. enterica serovar Kentucky
Lineage: Bacteria; Pseudomonadati; Pseudomonadota; Gammaproteobacteria; Enterobacterales; Enterobacteriaceae
Description: bacterial LSU rRNA
Rfam family: Bacterial large subunit ribosomal RNA
Source: RNAcentral
ACAGCUAAGUACCCCGAGGAAAAGAAAUCACCCGGGCUUCCCCCAGUAGCGGCGAGCGAACGGGGAGGAGCCCAGAGCCUGAAUCAGCAUGUGUGUUAGUGGAAGCGUCUGGAAAGGCGCGCGAUACAGGGUGACAGCCCCGUACACAAAAGCGCAUGUGUUGUGAGCUCGAUGAGUAGGGCGGGACACGUGGUAUCCUGUCUGAAUAUGGGGGGACCAUCCUCCAAGGCUAAAUACUCCUGACUGACCGAUAGUGAACCAGUACCGUGAGGGAAAGGCGAAAAGAACCCCGGCGAGGGGAGUGAAAAAGAACCUGAAACCGUGUACGUACAAGCAGUGGGAGCCCCACCACUAAGCCAGUGGUGAACUCCACAUACGCAUCCUUUGCUGAAGGUGCGGUUAACGGAGCGCAAGCGACGUUCAACCUCAAAAGAAGCAGAGGGGGCUUAGUGGUGGGGUGACUGCGUACCUUUUGUAUAAUGGGUCAGCGACUUAUAUUCUGUAGCAAGGUUAACCGCAUAGGGGAGCCGGAGGGAAACC